Molecule: ribosomal RNA, 497 nt
Filed under: uncultured bacterium
Lineage: Bacteria
Description: partial 16S ribosomal RNA
Rfam family: Bacterial small subunit ribosomal RNA
Source: RNAcentral
GAUGAACGCUGGCGGCGUACCUAAUACAUGCAAGUCGAGCGAACAGACGAGGAGCUUGCUCCUCUGACGUUAGCGGCGGACGGGUGAGUAACACGUGGAUAACCUACCUAUAAGACUGGGAUAACUUCGGGAAACCGGAGCUAAUACCGGAUAAUAUAUUGAACCGCAUGGUUCAAUAGUGAAAGACGGUUUUGCUGUCACUUAUAGAUGGAUCCGCGCCGCAUUAGCUAGUUGGUAAGGUAACGGCUUACCAAGGCGACGAUGCGUAGCCGACCUGAGAGGGUGAUCGGCCACACUGGAACUGAGACACGGUCCAGACUCCUACGGGAGGCAGCAGUGGGGAAUCUUCCGCAAUGGGCGAAAGCCUGACGGAGCAACGCCGCGUGAGUGAUGAAGGUCUUCGGAUCGUAAAACUCUGUUAUUAGGGAAGAACAAAUGUGUAAGUAACUAUGCACGUCUUGACGGUACCUAAUCAGAAAGCCACGGCUAACUACGUG